Molecule: ribosomal RNA, 301 nt
Filed under: uncultured bacterium
Lineage: Bacteria
Description: partial 16S ribosomal RNA
Rfam family: Bacterial small subunit ribosomal RNA
Source: RNAcentral
CAGUCGCCGCGGUAAUACGAAGGGGGCUAGCGUUGCUCGGAAUGACUGGGCGUAAAGGGCGCGUAGGCGGCGAUCAAAGUCAGGCGUGAAAUUCCUGGGCUCAACCUGGGAAUGGCAGUGGAUACUGGCAAGCUAGAGUGUGUCAGAGGAUGGUGGAAUUCCCGGUGUAGCGGUGAAAUGCGUAGAGAUCGGGAGGAACAUCAGUGGCGAAGGCGGCCAUCUGGGACAACACUGACGCUGAGGUACGAAAGCGUGGGGAGCAAACUGGAUUAGAUACCCCGGUAGUCCCUGUCUCUUAUAC